GACGUAGGUGGCGAGCGUUGUUCGGAAUCACUGGGCAUAAAGCGCGCGUAGGCGGCUAGGUAAGUCGGAUGUGAAAUACCUCGGCUCAACCGUGGAACUGCGUCCGAUACUGCCUGGCUUGAGGUCCGGAGGGGAGAGUGGAAUUCCCGGUGGAGCGGUGAAAUGCGUAGAGAUCGGGAAGAACGCCGGCGGCGAAAGCGACUCUCUGGUCGGAAUCUGACGCUGAGGCGCGAAAGCUAGGGGAGCAAACGGG
This 253-nucleotide ribosomal RNA is filed under the name uncultured bacterium. Its description in RNAcentral is "partial 16S ribosomal RNA". It matches the Rfam family "Bacterial small subunit ribosomal RNA", at positions 524 to 776 of the family's 1533-position model. The record is from RNAcentral.